CGAAGAAGAAGACCAAGAACUUUAUGAAAUCUGGCAGGGAAUCUUGGAAGAUGCAGCGGCAGAAUCUUUUGGAGCUCAGGAGGGUGAGGACCGCGGCCUUGACACACUGCCUCUAGCAAUAUGGAACUAUACAGAGCCCGGGAACAUGCAUAUCAGGAAUCCUCCCGCUGUGAGAACGCAUCAACCCAGCCAUGUUACUAUGCAGAAUUUCCUAGGACUACAAGUGGAUGAUUCAGAUUACAUACCAGCAAGGAAAAGACGUUCUGCUAUGAAAGGCCUUGUCAGAGCGGGGGUAUAUGGAAUUUUAAAAUACUGCCUGAAGAAUUACAUGUAUGAUUCAUGCUACGGGUGUAUGGUUCAAGCAGGGGGG
Hemicordylus capensis (graceful crag lizard) is the source of this 370-nucleotide long non-coding RNA. RefSeq lists it as uncharacterized. The record is from RefSeq and is a predicted model, not a curated record. The transcript has 3 exons. Lineage: Eukaryota; Metazoa; Chordata; Lepidosauria; Squamata; Cordylidae.